This 440-nucleotide ribosomal RNA is filed under the name uncultured bacterium. RNAcentral describes it as "partial 16S ribosomal RNA". It matches the Rfam family "Bacterial small subunit ribosomal RNA", at positions 338 to 795 of the family's 1533-position model. The record is from RNAcentral.
CCUACGGGAGGCAGCAGUAGGGAAUAUUGCUCAAUGGGGGAAACCCUGAAGCAGCAACGCCGCGUGGAGGAUGAAGGUUUUCGGAUUGUAAACUCCUUUUGUUAGAGAAGAUAAUGACGGUAUCUAACGAAUAAGCACUGGCUAACUCCGUGCCAGAAGCCGCGGUAAUACGGAGGGUGCAAGCGUUACUCGGAAUAACUGGGCGUAAAGAGCGCGAAGGCGGGAUAGCAAGUCAGAUGUGAAAUCCUAUGGCUUAACGAGAGAAGUGCAUUUGAAACUGUUAUUCUAGAGUAUGGGAGAGGUAGGUGGAAUGCGUGGUGUAGCGGUAAAAUGCGUAGAGAUCAAGAGGAAUACUCAUUGCGAAGGCGACCUGCUAGAACAUGACUGACGCUGAUGCGCGAAAGCGUGGGGAGCAAACAGGAUUAGAUACCCUAGUAGUC